GCAGCUGUAAUGUUGCCUAAUUGGGUCUCACACCUUCCUGAGGUAAGCACUAUUAUUAGCCAUCAUUAGCUUAGUUUUGCAAUUAAGUAAACAGGCACAGAGAGGCUCAGUAACUUAGAGUUGGGUUUGGGUGUAAGAACUCAACAUUCUUGACCUUCACUGUUGCUCUUCUGCUCUACAAAGUGAGCAGAGCCGGCGCCGCGGCUCACUAGGCUAAUCCUCUGCCUUGCGGCGCCGGCACACCGGGUUCUAGUCCCGGUCGGGGCGCCGGAUUCUGUCCCGGUUGCCCCUCUUCCAGGCCAGCUCUCUGCUGUGGCCAGGGAGUGCAGGGGAGGAUGGCCGAAGUGCUUGGGCCCUGCACCCCAUGGGAGACCAGGAGAAGCACCUGGCUCCUGCCAUCGGAUCAGCGCAGUGUGCCAGUCGCAGCGCGCGGCGGCUGUUGGUGAACCAACGGCAAAGGAAGAAAGGAAGACCUUUCUCUCUCUCUCUCACUGUCCACUCUGCCUGUCAAAAAAAAAAAAAAAAAAUCAGAGUGCUCACCCCCCACCCCCCCACCUGUUGGGCUGUGUCCCAUCUGGGCUUCAGGUCCUCAAUCCAGCAGAUGUGUGUGCACACUGGAUGAUUUCUAAGACAGCAGACAGCUCUGUGGGUCCUCCGGUGGUUUCCCCCUCGGGCCUCAGUCUCCAGCAUAUCCCUACCAUUUCUCUUUUCUCUCUCUGACUCCACCUUGGAUUCCUAAAGCUCUUGGGAGAAAGAGUCCCCUAGCAAAGAGCCCCUCCACAGCAGUCCUGCUGCACCGGCGCAUCUGCUCAGGGACCUGUAUCCUCCCCUGCACUUUCUGCUUGCGUGACCAGAGCUCCAGCAGUAGCCUGAUAGAACGCUUAAGAAAUAGAAUUCUGCUGUGCACAUGGCUUUCCUUAACUCACCUGAGCCUACUGCAAGCUCACAGUACACUUGCCAAGAUUAUCAUUCCUGUUUUAGAGAGGGGUCAGAAACAGAACCUGGCCCCUUUACCAGCUGCUGAAGCCAGGUUGGACCUCCUGCUUCCCGCUGCCCGGUUCCCACCCGCAAACACUGCAGUCUGCCCACGGGUGGCCCCUGGAAUGCAGUCAGGGAAUCGGCCGCAGCCGCUUGAGAAGUUCUUCGGAAAAGCAGGGAGAUACGUGGAGACGUAA
This 1175-nucleotide long non-coding RNA is filed under the name Oryctolagus cuniculus (rabbit). Its description in RNAcentral is "lncRNA (ENSOCUG00000039023.1)". The record is from RNAcentral. Lineage: Eukaryota; Metazoa; Chordata; Mammalia; Lagomorpha; Leporidae.